UCACGCUCUCUGGGGCACAUCUCCCCUGG
Molecule: small RNA, 29 nt
Filed under: Bombyx mori (domestic silkworm)
Lineage: Eukaryota; Metazoa; Arthropoda; Insecta; Lepidoptera; Bombycidae
Description: ovarian small RNA-25285
Source: RNAcentral